This 412-nucleotide ribosomal RNA is filed under the name Filifactor alocis. RNAcentral describes it as "bacterial SSU rRNA". It matches the Rfam family "Bacterial small subunit ribosomal RNA", at positions 77 to 496 of the family's 1533-position model. Lineage: Bacteria; Bacillati; Bacillota; Clostridia; Peptostreptococcales; Filifactoraceae. The record is from RNAcentral.
CUUUCGGGGCGAAGAAUAUAGAAGUUAGUGGCGGACGGGUGCGUAACGCGUGGGUAAUCUGCCUUUGUCAAAGGAAUAACUAUUCGAAAGAAUAGCUAAAACCGUAUAACAUAUUAAUAGGGCAUCCUAAUAAUAUCAAAACGAUAGUGGACAAAGAUGAGCCCGCGUCUGAUUAGCUAGUUGGUGAGAUAAAAGCCCACCAAGGCAACGAUCAGUAGCCGACCUGAGAGGGUGAACGGCCACAUUGGAACUGAGACACGGUCCAAACUCCUACGGGAGGCAGCAGUGGGGAAUAUUGCACAAUGGGGGGAACCCUGAUGCAGCAACGCCGCGUGAGUGAAGAAGGCAUUCGUGUCGUAAAACUCUGUAGUAGGGGAAGAAAGAAAUGACAGUACCCUAAAAGAAGCCCCGC